This 232-nucleotide unclassified non-coding RNA is filed under the name Ambisporaceae sp. RNAcentral's name for it is "partial contains 5.8S ribosomal RNA and internal transcribed spacer 2". The stretch from base 1 to 71 matches the Rfam family "5.8S ribosomal RNA", at positions 84 to 154 of the family's 154-position model. The record is from RNAcentral. Lineage: Eukaryota; Fungi; Glomeromycota; Glomeromycetes; Archaeosporales; Ambisporaceae.
GUGAAUCAUCAAAUUUUUGAACGCAUAUUGCACUCUCUGGUAUUCCGGAGAGUAUGCCUAUUUGAGGGUCAUUUGAAAUAAUAUAAUUUUCAAGAUUUCUCGGAAUUUAAAAUGGGUUGUUCAUUUUUUGUGGUCGCCUAAAAUCCAAGAAAAGCUUAUUUUUUUGGGUAGCGUGAUACUUUCAGUUACCUCGUGAUUUAACUAGCACUUAUUGGGUGUGUUAGGAAAUUUG